GGGGGCGACAGGCUUCGACGGGAUGUCCUGAAGCCAAGGGAAGCAUACCGAGGUCUGGGGCUCGUUAAAACACCAGAAAAAAAUAGUCGCAAACGACUAUAACUACGCUCUGGCUGCUUAAGUCAGCCAGCGUCUUUUAGGCCUGCUCCUGCGGGGCUUAAGAG
This 164-nucleotide transfer-messenger RNA is filed under the name Deltaproteobacteria bacterium. Its description in RNAcentral is "partial transfer-messenger RNA". It matches the Rfam family "transfer-messenger RNA", at positions 1 to 185 of the family's 374-position model. From Rfam's summary of the family: Bacterial tmRNA, also known as 10Sa RNA or SsrA, is named for its dual tRNA and mRNA-like properties. Its role is to liberate the mRNA from a stalled ribosome. Lineage: Bacteria; Pseudomonadati; Myxococcota; Myxococcia. The record is from RNAcentral.